This 594-nucleotide small RNA is filed under the name Histoplasma capsulatum. RNAcentral describes it as "hypothetical RNA". RNAcentral also lists the same sequence under 1 other name. Lineage: Eukaryota; Fungi; Ascomycota; Eurotiomycetes; Onygenales; Ajellomycetaceae. The record is from RNAcentral.
ACUCACAACCAUAUAUCCUGGCCCUUCAUUUAUUUAUUUCCUUUUCCUUUUUGUGCUCAUUUCUCUUCGUCUGUUGUUUUAUUUCACCCAUUGAGUUUCUAUUUGCAGAAGAAGGGAAGAGCUUUGUCAACCCUCGUCUCAAUUUGAGUGCCGAUUGUGAUAUCUUGUACCCAUUUUGUUUUUCUACAAUAUUUAAUAAUGGAGCAACCCACCAAGGAGAAGGAACCUUCCAAAGAGGUUGCGGAGAAGAAUGGAGAUGAACAAACUCCCAACGGCCAUCACGUAGACGGAGAACAUGACGGAGGUCUUUUCCAGAUUUCCGUCAAGCUUCCACAUGAGCCCUACAACAUCCAAGUUACGGUAUCGAGCCAGGAACAAGUCCAGGAUGUUCGUCAGUCGAUCGUUGAGCUGCCGGGUACCUUUCAGUACACGAGCUUUCACCUGGAGCAUAAUGGAACCAGGAUAAAUGACUACAUUGAACUGUCCGAGGUCAAGGACAUCCAGUCGAAUUCGGAAGUCGUCCUGGUCGAGGACCCCUACACUGAGAAGGAGGCUCGGAUGCAUGUGAUUCGGAUAAGGGAGCUGAUUGGCGCC